This 91-nucleotide small RNA is filed under the name Marmota monax (woodchuck). Lineage: Eukaryota; Metazoa; Chordata; Mammalia; Rodentia; Sciuridae. The record is from RNAcentral.
GCUGGGUAUGGCAGUGCAUGCCUGUAAUCCCAGUGGCUCAGGAGGCUGAGACAGGAGGAUUACUCAGCGACUUAGUGAGACUCUGUAUUAA